This 253-nucleotide ribosomal RNA is filed under the name uncultured prokaryote. RNAcentral's name for it is "partial 16S ribosomal RNA". It matches the Rfam family "Bacterial small subunit ribosomal RNA", at positions 524 to 776 of the family's 1533-position model. The record is from RNAcentral.
UACAGAGGGGGCUAGCGUUGUUCGGAAUUACUGGGCGUAAAGGGCGCGUAGGUGGCCUGUUAAGUCGAACGUGAAAUCCCCGGGCUUAACCUGGGAACUGCAUUUGUGACUGCAUCGCUGGAGUGCGGCAGAGGGGGAUGGAAUUCCGCGUGUAGCAGUGAAAUGCGUAGAUAUGCGGAGGAACACCGAUGGCGAAGGCAAUCCCCUGGGCCUGCACUGACGCUCAUGCACGAAAGCGUGGGGAGCAAACAGG